Long non-coding RNA from Danaus plexippus (monarch butterfly), 1253 nucleotides. RefSeq lists it as uncharacterized. Lineage: Eukaryota; Metazoa; Arthropoda; Insecta; Lepidoptera; Nymphalidae. The transcript has 2 exons. The record is from RefSeq and is a predicted model, not a curated record.
UCAAACCUUCAUAUUUAAUACGUAUGAAUAAAAACGCCAUUUACUUUAGAUGACAACCGUGCUUACGCCUUACAUGUAAAUACUUUCAAAUUUCAAUUCUUCACUUCGAAAUUUAACGAGGGUAACAGUUAUUAUUUAAAUAUAUCUUUUACACAAUAUUGUUUUAAAUUACCCAAGUGUAUGUGAUUUUGUAUGAAACAAACCCUGUGAAGAUAUAUAGUGUAGAGAGCUUGCCGGUGGGUUGUUUUUAAGGACGUGAUUCAUAGAGUCUUAUUGGCACACCAUUUUGUUUUCGUCUUGAAGGCCGCUUGUCGGACAUCCGGAUUUCGGUAUAAAAUCGCAAUGAAAGCCCAUUAAAUGGCUUCUCUUGUUAUUAUUUCUUGCGAUUGCGUUCGUUGGUUGCGAUUUUGUUCAUGCAACCGGCAUAUAAUCCAUACUUCAGACUGGUCGACUUUGGAACUGAUGAAAAUACAAUAUUUCUGCUAAGACAAUAUGAGAAUCGUGAGGUGCAGACAGGCUCUGAACACACAGGAUACAGGGAAGGACCGCUACCAAGUUACGUUAAAAUGUAAUGUGCGAAGAUUAAUUAUAGAAAAAACAUUAAACUGUUCGCGUUUCGCCAAGCUUUGAACACUCGUGGUACUGAGGUUGAUCUCAGAUGUCUCACACAUUUUAUUACAAUCGUUGUGUCAUCACAUCAUUUUGUUUCCAGACCUCGCAAACGUUCAACCGUCAACGUAUGUGUUACUCAAAUAUUUAAGUACCUUUUCUAAUAAGACCUCGUUUAAUAUAAUUCAAUCAAAAAAAGAAUGCUCCACAUCAAAUAUUAGCGAUCUUAAAUACGAGUAUUCUGCUCCUGGUAUAAUGUGAAUUGUAAAACAUCACCAAUUUUCUCUAUAAUCAAAAUUUGUAUACAAAAAGUUUGUCAAACUUAGUUAUGAAGUGAGCAGUUCGUAUUUCCAGUACACUGACGAUGCCGUUGCAUAGAUAAGGCUCAAUUCGUCGGUCAUGCAAUUUGUUAUCUGAUGACCUUCAACAUCCCUCUCAAUGGGGCACGGUAGGGCUGAAAUCAAUAUUUUUUUCAUUUUUAAUUCAUUAAAAUGAAUUAAUAUUUAUAUGAAUAACAUUAUUGAGAUGUAGUGAAUAGAUUAUAGUAACUAAACAUACUUAUUAACCAUUAUAUAAUAUGUAACCUACUUUUGUACCUAUCUAAUGUACGAUCUAUUUGAAAUAAAGGCAGUAUCUACUCAGCA